ACAACAAUCAAUACAUUCUAAACAAAAAAGAAAAGUGAGCACUGAUUGAUGCUUUCUUACUCAGAAGUGCUACACUGUGGCUGGCACCGGCCGAUACAAGAAGAACACGACGAGGUGGAGCAGCCACUUCACUAGUCCCUUCAUCUUCCAUCUGCACGAUCGCAACUGUCUACAAAACUUGCUCUGCUCGGUGAAAGAAGUUUUGAUUCUUAUAUAUACGCGCACAGACAGAGAAGCAUCUAAGAAAACGAAAAACAUGUUGUUCAAAGAGUCAAAAUGUCCGUAGAACAAACAAGUCUUAUUCACACCAAACAAAAGGGGUGGGUGAAAGUUUAACAUUAUCAGGUGAGGAUAAUUGGACUGGAAACACAUGCGUUAAGGACAGGUAAUAUAAAGACGAUGGAAUUCAAUGAUGAUGGCCCAAAUGUUGGAUCUUUCUCUUGAUUCUAUUUCAGCCACUGCCAUGAAUUUGACAUGUGAUGUGGUCUAGACUCAAGAACUAGACCUGUAAACUUUUUAGAAUCAUAAUGAUACGGUUGGAAUUUUAUGACUCAAAG
RNAcentral lists this small RNA (557 nucleotides) under Vigna angularis var. angularis. RNAcentral describes it as "Non-protein coding transcript". The record is from RNAcentral. Lineage: Eukaryota; Viridiplantae; Streptophyta; Magnoliopsida; Fabales; Fabaceae.